CUCUCUCCUCCGAUAUAUAGAUGUCUUUAGCUCCAUCCUAAAGCAUUCUAAUGAGAUCAUAAGGUGAUCAUAAGAGAAAUAAUAGUUAUAGGAAAGGAGAGAGAAACCAUACCUCACAUCUAAAAGAUCCAUCUUCUAUCUUCGGUUUAAGAAACCGUUCAAGAAGAACUCUCUGCUGCAAUAGAUGGAGGUACCCUUAUUACUCUUCUUAUGAUUCUAUUAUGUGAUUAGUCUUGAUGUUCAAAGAUCUUAGGAUUCGUGUAAAUUAUGCUUACAUUGUAGUCUUUUAUCUGUAAGUUAUUUCGUUGGCAUUCGCUUUGGGCUAGUGUUCUUAAGUGACUGGUAAGUGGUAAUAGUCCUUUAAAUAUUAGAUGCGGGCACAUUUCUGGGUCUUCAAAUCAUGUUCGUCAUGCACUCUCUUCAAUUGGUUUGUCUCUUUCUAGAACGAUAUCUUUCUUCUCCAAACAAAUAUUUUCUUUGCAAAAUGUCAUAUAAUUGUUUUAGCUUCAGAUAUAUAAACACUCUCUUGGAAGUGUAUUGCCUCUGUCAAUGCUCACUUGUUAUAAUCAGUCUCCUACAAAAUAAAAUCAUAGAACUAGUGUUGCCAGCGUCUUUUUAUAUAUAAUGUAGUCAUGAGUCUAGAUAUGUAAAAAUAAUUUUUUAUUGAAUGUGUCUUAGAAAAGGAUGCUAAUACGUACACACACACAUGAUAUGAUCAACCACGCAAUAAAGAGAAUAAAGGGUCAUAGUACUUCGAGAAGAUGUAAUCUUUAUCAUGUCUCGUUAUCUCCAUAUCCAAAAGUAUACGAUUGGUACUGGCUACUGCUUUGAGUUGAUCAAUUCCGUCUACGACAGCUAAAACAAAAACAAAUAGUUGUAGUCUUUUGCGGUACGUCUGUUGAAAAAUCUGGAUUUCUUUUCGUUUCAUUUUGUUUUUGUUAUGUUUGAACAACCAUGUCGGUGAUAUUUUAUAAUGUUUCUUCACAUCUAGAAUGUCCCAUUAAUAGCGAAAAACAAUGAUUUUCGGUUUCUUUUAUAUAUACAUAUGAAACUAUCAUUUGUUCUUUCGUAUCCAGUGACGAUAAUUAAUCGGAGUCUUGCUGUGACUGACAAAUGCUUUUAUCAAAAAGAUAGUACUAGAGAGAUACCAUACGCCUGUAAACCUCCAUAUAUCUCAAAAUCAUCUUUGCGACUCAAAAUCAGGGAACUUAGACACUUGUUCUUAUAGAUUUGCAACCUCUUUGGCAUGGACUCUCACAUUAUAAUUUCUAUCAUCGUUGAUAUGAUAUGUAGUCUUUAUUCACCCAAUUUUUUGUGAAUCUUGAUUAAUUUAUACCUUGAAUUCUUGAUGGUGAGCUUUUUUAAUCGAUUUCUUAGAUACAGUAAAAACUCUAUAAAUUAAUAAUGUUGGGAC
RNAcentral lists this long non-coding RNA (1414 nucleotides) under Eutrema salsugineum. RNAcentral describes it as "long non-coding RNA (ESAL_LNC000389)". The record is from RNAcentral. Lineage: Eukaryota; Viridiplantae; Streptophyta; Magnoliopsida; Brassicales; Brassicaceae.